UAGUGAGUUUGAUCCUGGCUCAGAUUGAACGCUGGCGGCAUGCUUUACACAUGCAAGUCGAACGGCAGUGCGGGCAACCUGGCGGCGAGUGGCGAACGGGUGAGUAAUAUAUCGGAACGUACCCAAGAGUGGGGAUAACGUAGCGAAAGUUACGCUAAUACCGCAUACGAUCUAUGGAUGAAAGUGGGGGAUCGCAAGACCUCAUGCUCCUGGAGCGGCCGAUAUCUGAUUAGCUAGUUGGUGAGGUAAAGGCUCACCAAGGCCACGAUCAGUAGCUGGUCUGAGAGGACGACCAGCCACACUGGAACUGAGACACGGGUCCAGACUCCUACGGGAGGCAGCAGUGGGGGAAUUUUGGACAAUGGGCGCAAGCCCUGAUCCAGCAAUGCCGCGUGAGUGAAGAAGGCCUUCGGGGUUGUAAAA
This 423-nucleotide ribosomal RNA is filed under the name uncultured Oxalobacteraceae bacterium. RNAcentral's name for it is "bacterial SSU rRNA". It matches the Rfam family "Bacterial small subunit ribosomal RNA", at positions 1 to 430 of the family's 1533-position model. The record is from RNAcentral. Lineage: Bacteria; Pseudomonadati; Pseudomonadota; Betaproteobacteria; Burkholderiales; Oxalobacteraceae.